This 460-nucleotide ribosomal RNA is filed under the name uncultured bacterium. RNAcentral's name for it is "partial 16S ribosomal RNA". It matches the Rfam family "Bacterial small subunit ribosomal RNA", at positions 338 to 795 of the family's 1533-position model. The record is from RNAcentral.
CCUACGGGAGGCAGCAGUGAGGAAUAUUGGUCAAUGGACGCGAGCCUGAACCAGCCAAGUAGCGUGAAGGAUGACUGCCCUACGGGUUGUAAACUUCUUUUAUAUGGGAAUAACAUGUUCCACGUGUGGGAUUUUGUAUGUACUAUAUGAAUAAGGAUCGGCUAACUCCGUGCCAGCAGCCGCGGUAAUACGGAGGAUCCGAGCGUUAUCCGGAUUUAUUGGGUUUAAAGGGAGCGUAGGUGGAUUGUUAAGUCAGUUGUGAAAGUUUGCGGCUCAACCGUAAAAUUGCAGUUGAAACUGGCAGUCUUGAGUACAGUAGAGGUAGGCGGAAUUCGUGGUGUAGCGGUGAAAUGCUUAGAUAUCACGAAGAACUCCGAUUGCGAAGGCAGCUCACUAGACUGCAACUGACACUGAGGCUCGAAAGUGUGGGUAUCAAACAGGAUUAGAUACCCGGGUAGUC